AGUCGUACGAGAACUCUUCUGCUUGCAGAAGAUAGUAAAGUGGCGCACGGGUGAGUAACGCGUGGGUAAUCUACCUCCGAAUUGGGGAUAACCCGCCGAAAGGCGAGCUAAUACCGGAUAAUAUCUUUAAAACUUCGGUUUUUAAGAUCAAAGGUGGUCUCUACAUGUAAGCUACUGUUUGGAGAUGAGCCCGCGUACCAUUAGCUUGUUGGUAGGGUAAUGGCCUACCAAGGCCGCGAUGGUUAGCUGGUCUGAGAGGAUGAUCAGCCACACUGGAACUGACACACGGUCCAGACUCCUACGGGAGGCAGCAGUGAGGAAUUUUGCGCAAUGGGGGAAACCCUGACGCAGCAACGCCGCGUGAGUGAUGAAGGCUUUCGGGUCGUAAAGCUCUGUCAAGUGGGAAGAACCUGCUAUAUAUUAAUACUGUAUAGCACUGACGGUACCACUAAAGGAAGCACCGGCUAACUCCGUGCCAGCAGCCGCGGUAAUACGGGGGGUGCAAGCGUUAUUCGGAAUUAUUGGGCGUAAAGGGCGCGUAGGCGGUCUCGAAAGUCAGAUGUGAAAGCCCGGGGCUUAACCCUGGAAGUGCAUUUGAAACUCAGGGACUUGAGUAUGGGAG
Molecule: ribosomal RNA, 622 nt
Filed under: uncultured bacterium
Lineage: Bacteria
Description: bacterial SSU rRNA
Rfam family: Bacterial small subunit ribosomal RNA
Source: RNAcentral